RNAcentral lists this long non-coding RNA (913 nucleotides) under Salvator merianae (Argentine black and white tegu). RNAcentral describes it as "lncRNA (ENSSMRG00000016236.1)". The record is from RNAcentral. Lineage: Eukaryota; Metazoa; Chordata; Lepidosauria; Squamata; Teiidae.
GAUGCGUUCUGUUAAAAGAUUUCUUUUUAAGGCCCCUAUUCUGACCCCUCGGCAACUGUUCCUACAACCUGCCUGGUGUGUGCCUAGCUGCCUUGGCCUUGGGGAAGCACGGGGCAAGACAGCAAGGCCUUGCUGAUGGGGUCGGGCUGCUGCAGGCUUGGGCAAAAUGUAGCUGGGACAGCGGUCCCUUUAAUUUCAUACUCCAGUCACACAUUCCUGGCAUUUUUGAAAAUCCCAGGAAGAGGAGAGUUCCCCGUGUGGAUCCCAGCCCCACUCCCUACUCUGCCAAUGCAACUGUUUGAGGAAGGGAGAGAAAGGGGAGGUUGCAAGAGUAAUUCAAACCCAGUGCAUUUGAUUUCUGAUCAUUUUAGAAAUGCUGAAGGAAGAGAACUUGUGGCAAAGGACACAUGGUGAUGGACCCCUAUAACUUCAAAGGCAUGCAGGAAUAAAGACCUCAAAUAAGAAUUAAGGAACAAUUAAGAAGCCUACAACUUCCAUCUUCCAUGACCUCUGAACAUCCUAGUUGACAAUAAUGGGAGCUGUAGUCCAAAAACACUGGAAAUACCCCAGGCCAAGGAAUACUGAAAUACAGUAAUUUAACUACAGAUGACAUACCUUCAGGAAGGCCUAGUGGAAAUUUGUAGAAUGUGUCUUCUUUAAAAAAGUGGGCUUGAGGUGCGAAGCCUUUAAAAACGACUAAACCUGGACAAAACAAAUGCAGAAUACUACAAAAACAAGUUAGUCACCAGUGUAGACUUAUUAAACUAUGACCAGAAAAUGACCAGUGUGGGAGAGGCAGGCAUUUUCUUAGUUUGCCUGGGACCAACUACUUCUAACCUUGUUGUUUAAAGAGCUUUCAAAACUAUUCUACUUCAUCAGUUAUAAAAUUAUUAAACCNGUUAUUUGAAAGCUC